CGGUACGGGUCGGAGGUAACAACGUACGGAGUGAUCUGCCCUAGAGUGUGGAAUAACGAUGGGAAACCGUCGCUAAUACCGCAUAAUCCCGAGAGGGGAAAGCAGCAAUGCGCUCAAGGAGGAGUCCGCGGCCGAUUAGCUUGUUGGUAGGGUAAUGGCCUACCAAGGCUUCGAUCGGUAGCCGGCCUGAGAGGGCACACGGCCACACUGGCACUGAAACACGGGCCAG
This 229-nucleotide ribosomal RNA is filed under the name uncultured bacterium. Its description in RNAcentral is "partial 16S ribosomal RNA". It matches the Rfam family "Bacterial small subunit ribosomal RNA", at positions 105 to 334 of the family's 1533-position model. The record is from RNAcentral.